GCACUGCUGACGGGUCCAAAACAGGACAAAACAGCUGUCCAGUGC
This is a non-coding RNA of Echinostoma caproni, 45 nucleotides long. Lineage: Eukaryota; Metazoa; Platyhelminthes; Trematoda; Plagiorchiida; Echinostomatidae. The record is from Rfam.